Labrus bergylta (ballan wrasse) is the source of this 416-nucleotide non-coding RNA. The record is from RefSeq and is a predicted model, not a curated record. Lineage: Eukaryota; Metazoa; Chordata; Actinopteri; Labriformes; Labridae.
GAAAGGUAAACUCAGGUCAGGUGUCAAAAGGGAAAACGCGAACGUGCGCCUUUCGUCAUUCAGGAAAUUGAGGGAAAACAAGAGGAACCUGGAAAAAGACAACAAAUAACUGCAGCUGCGAUGGACGGCUCCCAGUCGGUUCUCACCCACAGUUCAGAUCGACCGGGACGUGUCUGCUCGGAGGCCACAAUGACUCCUCUGCGGUUUGCAUGGAGUCAACUGUUGUUCGAUGAGAAGGACCACCAGCAGGCUUUGCAUCUUUCUGGACCCCUUUUGUCUGAUGUGUUGGAGAUCAUUUGCAUAUUGAAAACAGUUGCAGAUCAGUCUCUGCUAUCGUGGGAAAGUAGAAAAGGGAAAAUUGACAAAAUGUGAGAUAAUCAGGGGUUAAAGCUGAUUGAUGCAGACCUCUUUGUACU